GACUCCUACGGGGCGCAGCAGUGGGGAAUAUUGGACAAUGGGGGGAACCCUGAUCCAGCGACGCCGCGUGAGUGAAGAAGUAUUUCGGUAUGUAAAGCUCUCUCAGCAGGGAAGAAAGAAAUGACGGUACCUGACUAAGAAGCCCCGGCUAACUACGUGCCAGCAGCCGCGGUAAUACGUAGGGGGCAAGCGUUAUCCGGAUUUACUGGGAGUCAAGGGAGCGUAGACGGCGAUGCACGUCUGAAGUGAAAGGCGGGGGCCCAACCCCCGGACUGCUUUGGACACUCUAUAGAUGGAGAGCAGGG
Molecule: ribosomal RNA, 305 nt
Filed under: uncultured bacterium
Lineage: Bacteria
Description: bacterial SSU rRNA
Rfam family: Bacterial small subunit ribosomal RNA
Source: RNAcentral